This 430-nucleotide ribosomal RNA is filed under the name Bacillota bacterium. RNAcentral's name for it is "Firmicutes bacterium partial 16S ribosomal RNA". It matches the Rfam family "Bacterial small subunit ribosomal RNA", at positions 355 to 776 of the family's 1533-position model. RNAcentral also lists the same sequence under 1 other name. The record is from RNAcentral. Lineage: Bacteria; Bacillati; Bacillota.
UGGGGAAUAUUGGACAAUGGGCGCAAGCCUGAUCCAGCCAUGCCGCGUGUGUGAAGAAGGCCUUUUGGUUGUAAAGCACUUUAAGCGAGGAGGAGGCUACUUGGAUUAAUACUCUAGGAUAGUGGACGUUACUCGCAGAAUAAGCACCGGCUAACUCUGUGCCAGCAGCCGCGGUAAUACAGAGGGUGCGAGCGUUAAUCGGAUUUACUGGGCGUAAAGCGUGCGUAGGCGGCUUCUUAAGUCGGAUGUGAAAUCCCUGAGCUUAACUUAGGAAUUGCAUUCGAUACUGGGAAGCUAGAGUAUGGGAGAGGAUGGUAGAAUUCCAGGUGUAGCGGUGAAAUGCGUAGAGAUCUGGAGGAAUACCGAUGGCGAAGGCAGCCAUCUGACCUAAUACUGACGCUGAGGUACGAAAGCAUGGGGAGCAAACAGG